AAAUUAGUUGAUAAUGCCUUCCAGGAGACCUAGGGCCAUCCUAUUGAUAUGAACCAGAUCAUACCUGCCCUGAUGGGAUGCCAGAGAAAGACUGCUGCAAGGGCUCCUCUGGGAACAGAACAGAGGGAAGAAGAUAACUUCCCUGAAGCCCAGAUGUUCCAGAAGCCUGCACGUCAUUCACAAAGUCACCCCAAAAAUGCUCUAGAGUUUGAAGUUUUGAAGAAGCAGGAAGAAGGCCUGAGUAAGGGCCUGGGAACCAAGUUAGAUCCUGCUUUAGCAUCAGCACGUGCCAGCGAUGGUGCACACAGGUGGAGAGCGGCCUGCCCAUCUUUUCCAUGGUGCCCACAGACCCAUUUAGGAUGAAAGAUCAGAAAAUUCUCUCCAUGUCACCGCUUCUGAAACAUGUGAAUAUUAAUAUUUGGUGC
This 425-nucleotide long non-coding RNA is filed under the name Pongo abelii (Sumatran orangutan). RNAcentral's name for it is "lincRNA". The record is from RNAcentral. Lineage: Eukaryota; Metazoa; Chordata; Mammalia; Primates; Hominidae.